GAAAGGGCUUCUGCCCCGGUAAAGUGGCGCACGGGUGAGUAACACGUACGUAAUCUGCCCCUGAGUGGUGGAUAACCCUCCGAAAGGAGGGCUAAUACUGCAUGAGACCACGGGUUCUUCGGAACCUGCGGCCAAAGUGGGCCUCUUCAUGAAAGCUCAGGCUCUAGGAUGAGCCUGCGGCCCAUCAGCUAUUUGGCGGUGUAACGGACCACCAAGGCUAACACGGGUAGCUGGUCUGACAGGAUGAACAGCCGCACUGUUAACUGAUACACGGUCCAGACUCCUACGGGAGGCAUCAGUGGGGAAUCUUGCACAAUGGGUGAAAGCCUGACUCAUCGACCCCGCGUGAGUGAUGAAGGCCUUCGGGUUGUAAAGCUCUGUGGGGAGAGAUGAAUAAGAGCCGGCUAAUACCCGGCCCGAUGACGGUAUCUCCUUAUCAAGCACCGGCUAACUUUGUGCCAGCAGCCGCGGUAAGACAGAGGGUGCAAACGUUGUUUGGAAUCACUGGGCGUAAAGCGAGUGUAGGCGGUUGCGCAAGUCGGGCGUGAAAUCCCGUGGCUCAUCCACGGAAGUGCACCAGAAUCUGCGUAGCCGGAGUCUCGGUGAGGAAGGCGGAAUGCUUGGUGUAGAGGUGAAAUUUGUAGAUAUCUAGCGGAACACCAGUGGCGAAGGUGGCGUUAUGGACGAUGAUUGACUCUGAGACGUGAAAGCUUGGGGAGCAAACAGGAUUAGAUAUCCUGGUAGUCCACGCUGUAAUCGAUGAGUGUUAUGGUGUCACGGGCUUUGACCCCCGUGGUGCCGUAGCUAACGCAG
RNAcentral lists this ribosomal RNA (813 nucleotides) under uncultured bacterium. Its description in RNAcentral is "bacterial SSU rRNA". It matches the Rfam family "Bacterial small subunit ribosomal RNA", at positions 70 to 860 of the family's 1533-position model. The record is from RNAcentral.